CCGGUCCGGUAUUGAGGCUCACCGUUAGGCUUUCGGUGGAUACUGCCAGACUUGGAACCGGGAGAGGUAAGAGGUACUACAGGGGUAGGAGUGAAAUCUUGUAAUCCCUGUGAGACCACCUGUGGCGAAGGCGUCUUACCAGAACGGGUUCGACGGUGAGGGACGAAAGCUGGGGGCACGAACCGGAUUAGAUACCCGGGUAGUCCCAGCCGUAAACGAUGCUCGCUAGGUGUCAGGCAUGGCGCGACCGUGUCUGGUGCCGCAGGGAAGCCGUGAAGCGAGCCACCUGGGAAGUACGGCCGCAAGGCUGAAACUUAAAGGAAUUGGCGGGGGAGCACAACAACGGGUGGAGCCUGCGGUUUAAUUGGACUCAACGCCGGACAACUCACCGGGGACGACAGCAAUAUGUAGGCCAGGCUAAAGACCUUGCCUGAAUCGCUGAGAGGAGGUGCAUGGCCGUCGCCAGUUCGUACUGUGAAGCAUCCUGUUAAGUCAGGCAACGAGCGAGACCCGUGCCCACUGUUACCAGCAUGUCCUCCGGGACGAUGGGUACUCUGUGGGGACCGCCGAUGUUAAAUCGGAGGAAGGUGCGGGCUACGGUAGGUACGCAUGCCCCUAAAUA
This 622-nucleotide ribosomal RNA is filed under the name Methanosarcina mazei. Its description in RNAcentral is "bacterial SSU rRNA". It matches the Rfam family "Archaeal small subunit ribosomal RNA", at positions 542 to 1163 of the family's 1478-position model. Lineage: Archaea; Methanobacteriati; Methanobacteriota; Methanomicrobia; Methanosarcinales; Methanosarcinaceae. The record is from RNAcentral.